AACGAACGCUGGCGGCAGGCUUAACACAUGCAAGUCGAACGGCACGGCCGGGGAGUGGCGGGGGGGUGGGUAAGCCGUGGGGACAUACCCUUUUCUAUGGCCUGGCCUUGGGAAAGGGGAAUUUAUAGCGAAUUGGGGCUAAUGGGGGAAGAUUUCUCGGGGAAGGAGUGGGCCGUGUUGGAUUUGCUAGUUGGUGGGGUGAAGGCCUACCAAGGCGACGAGUCAUAGCUGGUCUGAGAGGAGGACCAGCCAGAUUGGGACUGAGACACGGACCCAACCCCUACGGGAGGCAGCAGUGGGGAAUAUUAGGCAAUGGGCGCAAGCCUGACCCAGCCAUGCCGCGUGAGUGAUGAAGGCCUUAGUGUUGUAAAGCUCUUUCACCGAUGAAGAUAAUGACGGUAGUGGGAGAAGAAGCCCCGGCUAACUUCGUG
RNAcentral lists this ribosomal RNA (431 nucleotides) under uncultured bacterium. RNAcentral's name for it is "partial 16S ribosomal RNA". It matches the Rfam family "Bacterial small subunit ribosomal RNA", at positions 29 to 507 of the family's 1533-position model. The record is from RNAcentral.